AAAUAGAAAGCGAAACCCAUCGCCUUCAGCUUCGACCUGAAUCUUGAUUCUAAUCUCUAUUUU
This 63-nucleotide transfer RNA is filed under the name Charinus ferreus. Its description in RNAcentral is "tRNA-Arg". The record is from RNAcentral. Lineage: Eukaryota; Metazoa; Arthropoda; Arachnida; Amblypygi; Charinidae.